ACGCAGCCUCUCCACAUCAUGCUGGAGUCAGCAGUGAGCGCAGAGCAGUCCGAGGUGGGAGUCCCCGUCAGUCCGUGUUCCCCCACCCCCAACCCCAGUCUCAGAGGUGCAGAAAAUGUCUUAUUCUAAGGAGAAAUACUCUGGACAUCACAGCGCCCCCCAGCCACAUCAACACCAGUUCCGGCCACAUGCGUGUGGUUGAAAAACAGCAAUCACAGGGGUAAAGCUUGAGGGGCAUCAAGCUGACCUGACCAGGGAAGACAAAGUGGGUGCUGUGGAGUCGGGAUGUGAGGGAGGGUCCCUGUUUCCCCUCCCUCCUAGGAACCAGAAAGGAUACGGGGUCACUACAGAAGCGAGGAGGUCCCAAGGGCCUUCGGACGGCCCACCUGUGGCCCGGGGGUGGGCAUCUGACUCCGGGUGUACAGGGGCGUGCGUACGUGGGUGUGCGCGCACGUGUGUUCAGGUCGCGUGUUCGGGGAUUAUGCGUGCGUGUGUGUGCAGUGCGCGCUCGUGUACCCCGCGUGUGCACGGGCCUGGCGGCGGCGGGCGCGCGACCCGGCCGCGGUAGUGCGUGCCCGUCGCUCUGUGCGCCCGCCCGCCGGAGCGCAGCAUCGCCUCCGGCCAAGAGCGUGCAUGCGUGGGAAUUCCACGCCUGCCCCUGAGAUCACUCAAGCUGCCCUGGAGAGGAGAGCCGAGGAGGAUCGAGGAACCCAGCAGGAGGGAGGUGGCGGUGACAGGCCUGGAGUGUGAAAAGUGAUGGGGCACCCUGAGCCCAGGUCUGAGGGGAACCUGAGGUCCAGGAGAACCUCUCCAGGUGCGCGAGUGCGUGAACACGGUUGGAGGGAAGCAGGGAUGGGAAGCUCACGUCCACGGGGAAGCCUGACGGGGAGAGGUGUGGCUCAUGUGAAAUCCCAACCUUAGGAUGUAACUGGUAUCCAUUCCCUGGUACAAAUGAGGAAACGGAGGCAUGAAGAGGCUGAGCAAUUUGGUCUCAUCACGCAGUGACAGCACGCAAAUUUGGCUUUUUCAGUCUGUGAGAGGUUGCAUUUUGCAGAGAGGGCCACCUCAAGAACUCCCAUCCCACACAUACAGGACAAGGCCGAUGUCCUCCCGUGGACACACGCCCCUCCCGCGCUCCCUCUCCUUGAGUUUGGGUAAAUUUGAACGUGCAAAAAGUGGUGCUCUGUUGCUUCUGAGCUAGUCAGAAAAUGCAAUGUAGCUUCUGCUUGGGGCUCUUGGGAUGCUCACCUCUGGAGCCUUAUGCCGCCAUGUGUGAGGAACAACAACCAGCCCACACAGAGAGAGCGCAUGGAGAGGCCCUGAGAGGACAGGGACUGGAGAGAGAUGCCCUGCCAGUGCGCACUGCUCCCAUCCUGCUGUUCCUGCCCCAGCCACCGGCUCCACCUUCAUGCGAGACCCCGAGCCAGACCAGCCAGCCAAGCCCGCUCUGGCUUCCUGACCCACAGAAACUGUGAGAGAUCAGAUCAUGAAAUGGUUUUGAUUGCCUUGAGCCACUGGGUUUCGGGCUGGUUCAUUUCGCAGCAUUGGGUCAUUGGAACACGACCCAUUGCCAUCCAGUUGGGCCAAUGUUCAAGAUAAUCUGGAGUCCUCCUGCUUCUCCCAUCUCGACCCACCACCCUGCUCUGGGCCACCAUCGCCCUUGCCUGGACCCCCGCAGUAGCUUCCUGACUGGUGUCCCUCCUUCUGCCCUCCACCCUGUGGGUCUGUUCUCCACACAGCAGCCCGAGGGGGCCUGUGGAGCAGAAACACCUCUGCCCAAAGCCCCCGCAGUGGCUCCCAUCUACCCGAGUCCUGACAACGACCCGCAGGCCCUCCAUGAUCUGCCCCACAGCCUCUCCGGCUGCAGCCCCUUCCUCCCCCCGUCAUCCCUCACUCACUCCCCUCCAGCCGUCCCCAAAUGCAUCAGGCACACCCCUUCCUCAGAGCUGUUGUCCAUGCUGUUCCCAAGGUGUCUUCCUGGCAGGGUGAGAGGAGGGGCGGGGAGCCUCCCAAAAUGGGCUGUCCCCCUGCUCAGGGCUCCUCCUCAUGUUCCAAAUGAGGACGUGAGGCCCUGGGAAGGCAAAUCAUUUGUUGAAAGCUCACCAGUCAUUCAUGUAUUCAACAAAUGUGAAAGCUUCAUAGAAUCAAAACCUUCUGGAGUCAUUGAAUCCAGACUCUGAGUUCAAAUCCCAGGGCUGCCACCUGCAAGCCAAGGGGGGCAAGUCACUUAGCCUCUCUGUGCCCCAGUGGACAUGCGGA
Long non-coding RNA from Manis pentadactyla (Chinese pangolin), 2259 nucleotides. RefSeq lists it as uncharacterized. The record is from RefSeq and is a predicted model, not a curated record. Lineage: Eukaryota; Metazoa; Chordata; Mammalia; Pholidota; Manidae. The transcript is spliced from 3 exons.